AUUGAACGCUGGCGGCAUGCCUUACACAUGCAAGUCGAACGGCAGCACGGGUGCUUGCACCUGGUGGCGAGUGGCGAACGGGUGAGUAAUAUAUCGGAACGUACCUUAUUGUGGGGGAUAACGCAGCGAAAGCUGUGCUAAUACCGCAUAAUCCCUAAGGGGGAAAGCGGGGGACCGUAAGGCCUCGCGCAAUUAGAGCGGCCGAUACCUGAUUAGCUAGUUGGUGAGGUAAAGGCUCACCAAGGCAACGAUCAGUAGCUGGUCUGAGAGGACGAUCAGCCACACUGGGACUGGGACACGGCCCAGACUCCUACGGGAGGCAGCAGUGGGGAAUUUUGGACAAUGGGGGCAACCCUGAUCCAGCAAUGCCGCGUGAGUGAAGAAGGCCUUCGGGUUGUAAAGCUCUUUUGUCAGGGAAGAAACAGCAGCUCUAACACAGUAUGCGAAUGACGGUACCUGAAGAAUGAGCACCGGCUAACUACGUGCCAGCCGCCGCAGUAA
Molecule: ribosomal RNA, 501 nt
Filed under: uncultured bacterium
Lineage: Bacteria
Description: partial 16S ribosomal RNA
Rfam family: Bacterial small subunit ribosomal RNA
Source: RNAcentral